Molecule: ribosomal RNA, 1878 nt
Filed under: Triticum aestivum (bread wheat)
Lineage: Eukaryota; Viridiplantae; Streptophyta; Magnoliopsida; Poales; Poaceae
Description: partial small subunit ribosomal RNA
Source: RNAcentral
AUGGCGGCCGGAGGUGCACCCAUGCCUCCCAUGAGAGAAGCAAAAUUCAUGCCUCCCAUGGGGCUCCAAAGCCAGCAAUGCCUCCCAUUGCACCGCCCACGGUACCUCCGAAGCCACCCAUGCCACCCAUGGCGCCAAGGCCACCGCCACCCAUGUCCCGUCAGUGAGCUCGCCGGCGCUUCGGUAGCCGCCGCGCCCGUCGCACGCCCCGCAAGCUUCUUCCUCCUCGCCUUGGAGGUGCCGGAGCCGUCUGCCGCCUUGUUUUUCUUCACCGAUGUCUUGCCCUUCUUUGGCUGCGCCGCAUUGGGUAGCUUUGAGGAGGAGGGGGCGGCGGCUCGGGCCGCCGCCGGCGCUACGCCACCCGCUGCCGAGGUCAUCCGCGGCGGCAUGAAGAGGCCGCGGGCGAGGCCGAUGGUCGGAGGAGCUCCGGCGGAGGCGAGGCCAACGACACCCGGGCUAGGGUUUGCGGUGGUGGCGGGGGGUUGCGGCUAUAGGACGGGGGAUAUGGACGGACGAAAUGCCUCGGCGCAUUUUGGAGUUGGGAUAAUCUCACCGGGAGGCCCCGGCCCAUUCCCUCCCCCGAUGAAGUCCUGUGAAAAGAUGCACGUAGCUCUACCAUUGUUCGUAGGAGCCGCCGCUAGGAAACCGAUCGCCGCCAAGGUUGAUGCCGACAUUCCAAGACACUGGCCCAGCCUCCUGCCGGAGCUGUUGGCGGACAUCCACGAUCGCCUGGGAUUCCUCGACCGCAUUGCCUUCGCCGCGGUCUUCGCCGCAUCCUGCGACGACAACGACGUGUUCAAGCCGUCGGCCCCGUGGCUCUUCCUCCCCGGCAAGAACGAGGAGAACCCGGCGGCCGCUACGCUCUUCUCCGUCGCCGAUCGGUGCCCUGCCACGGUGCGUGCGCCGUACACUGCGCUGCGCGACGACCACGUCGUCCUCGGCUCCUCCCGUGGAUGGCUCUUCACGGCCGACGACCGAGGCCAGAUUUACCUCGUCAACCCCGCCACCGGCGAGCAGCACGCGCUCCCGAACAUCACCACCAUGGGCGUCUUCCUCCACACGCCCUAUGGGGGGUUCAUCAUGAACAUAUGGAGCUUCAUGGCCAUCCGAUUCGUCUUAGGGCCGUCGUUCAUUAGUGAUUCCUCGAGGCGUCUGGUGCACGGGGCGCACGUGUUGACCGCCGACGAAAUGCGUACGUCGUUCUACCGGAAGGUUGUCCUCUCGCCGGCCUCCCCGCGCCGCCCCGGCACUAUGGACGCUGUGUGGAUGCUGGCGCCGUCGCACGACGGCGUGGAGGACGCUAUCCACCACAACGGCUGGUUCCUCUCCGUCUCCUACACCGGCGUCGUGGAGGCGUGGCAACGUGACACUGAGUCAGGCGGUUACACAAGCACGGCUGUCACGCCAAGGCUGACCAUUGAGGAAGGCGGCUCGCCGUGCCAUCGCAAGUACCUGGCGACUGCCCCCGGUGGGCGGCUGAUGGUGGUGCUCAAGUACGCCCAGGUGACCAAGGGCAAGGAUCUGUACGGCCGGCAUAGGUGGACGUGCUCCUUCAAGGUGCAUGUCCUCGGCGCCGGGCAGUGGAAGGAGACGAGGGACAUUGGUGACGUCGCGCUGUUUGUCGGGGUGAACAACUCGUUGUGCGUGCCGACAAGUGGGCGCUCGGAUAUCAAGGCUGGGUGCAUCUACUUCACUGACGACGAACCGAGGGUCGCUGCGCUUGGCGAGCCCAAGGACUUAUGGGCUGACGAGUCCGACGCUCAGGCGGUCGGGGUGUACUGCCUCAAGGAUAGCACGGUAAAGAAGAUGGAGGCGCUCGGGCACCACUACCGUACGUUGUCAUCACCACCGGUGUGGAUCACGCCUUCUAUCCCAUGA